This is a non-coding RNA of Chrysemys picta bellii (western painted turtle), 263 nucleotides long. The record is from RefSeq and is a predicted model, not a curated record. Lineage: Eukaryota; Metazoa; Chordata; Testudines; Emydidae.
CUCUGCAGAUGCCUUCGGGCACUGGUUGAGAAAAAGCAGCAGGAAGGAGAAGAAGCUGCUUGCCUCGACUACAGUGGACCAGUGAAACUCCCUACACCCCAGGGGCUGCUGGCACGACUCCUGGUAGUAGCCUCAUCCCCUUACGAAAGAGAAGGACAUGGAUGUGCUGCCUUGCAAUUACUUGAGGCCCUGCACCACAAUAUCCACGCAGCAGUGGGUGAGAUGUGGGUACUAAAUAUCCCACCUCUGCUGCAGUACAUUGA